RNAcentral lists this ribosomal RNA (466 nucleotides) under Westerdykella dispersa. Its description in RNAcentral is "eukaryotic LSU rRNA". It matches the Rfam family "Eukaryotic large subunit ribosomal RNA", at positions 64 to 534 of the family's 3401-position model. Lineage: Eukaryota; Fungi; Ascomycota; Dothideomycetes; Pleosporales; Sporormiaceae. The record is from RNAcentral.
UCGAAUCAGGAUUGCCCUAGUAACGGCGAGUGAAGCGGCAACAGCUCAAAUUUGAAAUCUGGCCCUCUCAGGGUCCGAGUUGUAAUUUGCAGAGGGUGCUUUGGCGAUGGCUGUGGUCUAAGUUCCUUGGAACAGGACGUCACAGAGGGUGAGAAUCCCGUACGUGGCCGCCAGCCUCCGCCGUGUAAAGCCCCUUCGACGAGUCGAGUUGUUUGGGAAUGCAGCUCUAAAUGGGAGGUAAAUUCCUUCUAAAGCUAAAUACUGGCCAGAGACCGAUAGCGCACAAGUAGAGUGAUCGAAAGAUGAAAAGCACUUUGGAAAGAGAGUCAAAAAGCACGUGAAAUUGUUGAAAGGGAAGCGCUUGCAGCCAGACUUGCCUGUAGUUGCUCACCGGGGCUCUUGCCCUGGGCACUCUUCUACGGGCAGGCCAGCAUCAGUCCGGGCGGCUGGAUAAAUGCCUGCUACA